ACAGCACUUUGUUUCCAACCGC
Molecule: non-coding RNA, 22 nt
Filed under: Arabidopsis thaliana (thale cress)
Lineage: Eukaryota; Viridiplantae; Streptophyta; Magnoliopsida; Brassicales; Brassicaceae
Source: RNAcentral